UACGAAGGGUGCAAGCGUUAAUCGGAAUUACUGGGCGUAAAGCGCGCGUAGGUGGUUCAGUAAGUUGGAAGUGAAAUCCCCGGGCUCAACCUGGGAACUGCUUUCAAAACUGCUGAGCUAGAGUACGGUAGAGGGUGGUGGAAUUUCCUGUGUAGCGGUGAAAUGCGUAGAUAUAGGAAGGAACACCAGUGGCGAAGGCGACCACCUGGACUGAUACUGACACUGAGGUGCGAAAGCGUGGGGAGCAAACAG
Molecule: ribosomal RNA, 252 nt
Filed under: uncultured bacterium
Lineage: Bacteria
Description: partial 16S ribosomal RNA
Rfam family: Bacterial small subunit ribosomal RNA
Source: RNAcentral